AGAAGAUUGCCUGAGGACUUCCUUGUUGACUGUAGCUUAUCUUGCUGUGUAUCCACUAACAGAUCAAGUUGAAGUGUGGGUACCUCAAGCUUUGUUUAAUUUUCUUUUUCUUUUUUUUUUUUCAUCUCCAAGUACAUGGAUUAGAGCUAUAAAGAUGUUGGUCUAAGUCACAAGAGUUUUGGAGACCGGAAAUGCUUGAUUUCAGAAGUUGAAUUUAAAGUUAUCUGAAGAUACUCCUAUGGGGAGAAGAAACUUCUCUAGUCCAAAAGCACUUGUGAGCUAUUUUUGAAAGUUGGUGGGAAAUCCUCUUGGUCCUCUGGGUCACAGGACAGUGAGCUCUUUCACAGCCUUGGAACACCUGAGCUGGGAAUCCUGUGCUUGGCAUCUGCCUACAGACAAGAGUGCUUCUACUUCUUUUUGUGUCCAUUGUUUGCAGAGCAGCUGAGAAGGACUUCUGUCUUUCUCUGUGUGUGUGACUGGAGGAGAAAAGGGCAACUGGAGUAAAAGGAAGGAGCAACUGGUGGUGCAAAUU
Molecule: long non-coding RNA, 532 nt
Organism: Serinus canaria (Common canary)
Lineage: Eukaryota; Metazoa; Chordata; Aves; Passeriformes; Fringillidae
Exons: 3
Source: RefSeq, a predicted model, not a curated record